GGCUGUCGUCAGCUCGUGUCGUGAGAUGUUGGGUUAAGUCCCGCAACGAGCGCAACCCCUACUUCUAGUUGCCAUCAGGUUAAGCUGGGCACUCUAGUAGGACUGCCUGUGAUAAGCAGGAGGAAGGUUGGGAUGACGUCAAGUCCUCAUGGCCCUUACGUGUUGGGCUAUACACGUGCUACAAUGGCAGUGACAAUGAGAUGCUAAACAGCGAUGUUAAGCUAAACUCAAAAACCUGCCUCAGUUCGGAUUGCACUCUGCAACUCGAGUGCAUGAAGCUGGAAUCGCUAGUAAUCGCUCAUCAGCGCGGAGCGGUGAAUACGUUCCCGGGUCUUGUACACACCGCCCGU
Molecule: ribosomal RNA, 350 nt
Filed under: uncultured bacterium
Lineage: Bacteria
Description: bacterial SSU rRNA
Rfam family: Bacterial small subunit ribosomal RNA
Source: RNAcentral